UACGGAGGGGGCUAGCGUUGUUCGGAAUUACUGGGCGUAAAGAGUGCGUAGGUGGUUUAGUAAGUUGGAAGUGAAAGCCCGGGGCUUAACCUCGGAAUAGCUUUCAAAACUACUAAUCUAGAGUGUAGUAGGGGAUGAUGGAAUUCCUAGUGUAGAGGUGAAAUUCUUAGAUAUUAGGAGGAACACCGGUGGCGAAGGCGGUCAUCUGGGCUACAACUGACGCUGAGGCGCGAAAGCGUGGGGAGCAAACAGG
This 253-nucleotide ribosomal RNA is filed under the name uncultured bacterium. RNAcentral's name for it is "partial 16S ribosomal RNA". It matches the Rfam family "Bacterial small subunit ribosomal RNA", at positions 524 to 776 of the family's 1533-position model. The record is from RNAcentral.